RNAcentral lists this long non-coding RNA (414 nucleotides) under Phoenix dactylifera (date palm). RNAcentral's name for it is "long non-coding RNA (PDAC_LNC012415)". The record is from RNAcentral. Lineage: Eukaryota; Viridiplantae; Streptophyta; Magnoliopsida; Arecales; Arecaceae.
CUAAAAGAAAGAAAAUGUAAAUGCUUUUGAAAGAAAUUGAGCUUCAAAUGAAUCAUUUUCUGAUUAAUAUUUCUAUACAUUUUCUCUAAGAUUAAGAGAAAGCAUAACUUGCUCUUGAAGGAUUAGAAAGAGUAAUUGCUACAAAUUUUGAAUAAUACUAGAUUACUCUACAUUCUCGAUAUCAUAGAAUUUCAGUUUUAUUCAUGCUUAUCACUAAAAUCUGAAAUUCAACAAUAGAAAAGAAUGAUUAAAGAAGAAUGCAUCUUUUGAGGGGGAGCUUUAGAUAUUCAGUAUCUCAUACCUUGAUUUUUAUGGAUUGAUUUUGAUGAACCUCCUUAUAUUGCAAGACUUGCUUUAAUUAUAUAAUAAGUUUAUACCUUGAGAUGAGUUCUAUAAAGGUUGUUUUAUCUCAAA